UACGUAGGGUGCAAGCGUUGUCCGGAAUUAUUGGGCGUAAAGAGCUCGUAGGCGGUUUGUCGCGUCGGCUGUGAAAGCCCGGAGCUCAACUCCGGGUCUGCAGUCGAUACGGGCAGACUUGAGUGUUGCAGGGGAGACUGGAAUUCCUGGUGUAGCGGUGAAAUGCGCAGAUAUCAGGAGGAACACCGAUGGCGAAGGCAGGUCUCUGGGCAUUAACUGACGCUGAGGAGCGAAAGCAUGGGGAGCGAACAGG
This 253-nucleotide ribosomal RNA is filed under the name uncultured bacterium. RNAcentral's name for it is "partial 16S ribosomal RNA". It matches the Rfam family "Bacterial small subunit ribosomal RNA", at positions 524 to 776 of the family's 1533-position model. The record is from RNAcentral.